This 253-nucleotide ribosomal RNA is filed under the name uncultured bacterium. RNAcentral's name for it is "partial 16S ribosomal RNA". It matches the Rfam family "Bacterial small subunit ribosomal RNA", at positions 524 to 776 of the family's 1533-position model. The record is from RNAcentral.
UACGGAGGGUGCGAGCGUUGUCCGGAAUCACUGGGCGUAAAGGGCGCGUAGGCGGCGCGAGCAGUCGAUCGUGAAAGUCCGGAGCUCAACUCCGGAUCGGCGGUCGAUACUCUCGUGCUUGAGCACUGUAGAGGCAGAUGGAAUUCCGGGUGUAGCGGUGGAAUGCGUAGAGAUCGGGAAGAACACCAGUGGCGAAGGCGGUCUGCUGGGCCGUUGCUGACGCUGAAGCGCGACAGCGUGGGGAGCAAACAGG